AUUCUUUCCACCCUGGAUGAAGAGAAGCCACUGUGGAUAUUAAUCAGUAGUAUUUGCUCCCUGGUCUGUUAUCUGAGUCUUUUGGGGUGCUCAGUGAUUACAGCAGGCCAGCUCUAGAUCCAGAUCUCCUCCCCACCUACAGGUCAUUGGAUAUGUAUUGCUUAGAAAGGCUCUUGACAAGGCAGACAGGACAUCCAGAUAAUGAUCACCUUGAAGAACGUGGUGCUUAAAAAGGUGCUGCUGGGCCCCUGGCAGGAGGUGGAAGGUGGCAGUGGCAAAGCUGGGUGGUGGUAAAGCCGUGAUUGCUAGCUCCUUCAGAUGCCGCUUUCCUGGUGAGUGAGCGGUAUGUAUAAGAAUAUUCU
RNAcentral lists this long non-coding RNA (362 nucleotides) under Apteryx rowi (Okarito brown kiwi). Its description in RNAcentral is "lncRNA (ENSARWG00000009179.1)". The record is from RNAcentral. Lineage: Eukaryota; Metazoa; Chordata; Aves; Apterygiformes; Apterygidae.